UUCUUAGUUUUCAGAGUCAGUGUGAUGUUUGGUUCUUGAAUGUCGGCAUUGUCGCCAUCAGGUGUUUUUUUUUUUUUUUUUUUUUUUUUUGUGUAAUUAUUUUUUUAAGUUUCUCUGAAUUCUAUUUGAUUUAUGGUAACGUGGGAAUUUACAAUUUCUAAAAGAAGAUUUUGGAGAAAUUCGGGCAAAAUGUAUGCUAGUUAAUAGCUUGAAAAUGCGAAACCAUUGAUAGCAAUAGAAAUUCUCUCGCAUUUUGUAGCGAUAGAAUUUCUGAACUUCUUAGUCCAUUUACGCUAUGGUAUCUAGAAAUUUGGAGAACCACAAGGAAUUUUAAGGAUGGUUAAAAUUAGUGUAUGGGGGGCAGAUGAUCAAGUCUACCAUGAUCUGUAAGCAUACAUUUUCUUUUCUUAAUUGACACUGUAAAUUUUUCAUGCUCUUUAGGAUGCUUUUGGAACGCAUAAUGUUGUUUGGAUAAUUCUUUCGGGGAAGGAAGCUUGACUGUCAAUAGAAAUCUGACAGAAACUGGCAACCGAUGAGUCAUUAAGAAGACGAUAACCUUCAAAGCUAUAUCUCCAAUACUGACCCAGAUGCUUAUUUGAAAAAUUAGGCUUUUUCUUAACUUUUUGUAUGUAUGUCUUUAAUAAAUUCUGAAAGGUAUGCUCCCUGGUCGUUGAUGGAUGAUUGGAUCUAUAUAAUGUUCUUUUUCUUUUUGUUGUAUUCUUCCUAGCUAGUUGCUGAAAGGCAUAUUCUAAUUUCUCCUAUCUGGCAAUGAUUUUAUAUAUCUGAAGUUGUUUCUAGGUGUAUUUGGGCAUGGAUCUUCCUACAACUACCGUGGAACAUGUACCAGAGACAAUUGAAGACGAGCAAAAGGGAAGCCCAUUGUUCAAGUGCGAUCUCCAUGACACAGAAAUAGUUCACAAGAUAGCUCAAGUGCUCAUCCUAGGAUUAGCUACAGCUUGUGUUGACAACACAACAGGUGAUAUGUUCAGGAGCCCCGCUUCUGUAGCUGUUGAUACCAGAAAAGAACUGGUGGACUAUCUUACUCAGAGAAGUGGAAACUUCGUCACUGAAUUUAUUAUCUUAAAAGGUGGUCCAGAGGCAGAAGAAUCUGACCAUCCCUCCGAUAUUAUUUCCAAUUUUGUUGAUGACUUUUCAAAUUCAAAGAGGAACUUGUUUAGUCGGGUUUCAGGAUGGCUACUGAGUGAAAAGAGAGAAGACAAGGUAGAUGAUUUUAUUCAAGAGAUGGAAAUAAAUGGUUUUUGGUUGUUGGAUGGGAGGGAAGCAAUUGCACAGACUUUGCUCAAGAAUGUUGACUUAAAGAAUGCAUUUCACUGCAACAUGAAAUUCAACUCUUCUGAAGAACUUGAUGCACAUGUUCACCACUGCAGCUUUAGAUCUAUGACCUGCACAAAUGAGGGUUGUAAUGCCAGAUUUUGUGCGCGUCAUUUGGACAAGCAUGAUUCAGUUUGUCCCUUCAAGAUAAUUCAAUGUGAGCAGAAGUGCUCAGACAGGAUCAUCAGACACGAGAUGGACAGGCAUUGCAUAACUGUCUGCCCAAUGAAGCUUGUGAACUGCCCUUUCUAUGCAGUGGGUUGUCAAUCAACGAUACCUUACUGUAUGAUCGAACAACAUUGUUCAGAUACCCUCAGUUCGCACUUGCUAUAUAUUCUUCAAGGCAUUCACAAAGAAGCAUCUAUGGAGGAUCUGAAACGACGGGUGGAGCAACUAGAACAGGUGACCUUUAAGGUGUAUUAGGAUGGAGAGACAAACUUCUUUUCAAUGGCUUCCUAUAGCAAUGUCAAGACCUUCUAAAACUUUCUAUUCACCUGUUUUCCAUUAGAACAAAAAUGUGCGUUGACACAGAGUCUUUAUCUGCUUGGUUUUGUAACGAAAUUUUGCCAUAAAAUGAGCAGCAUCAUCUGGUCAGCUAGCAGAAGCUCGAGAUCUGAGAUCUUUAACAUCCAAAGUCAAGUACAUCGAAGCAAAGUGGGGGCCUGCAUUCGAAGUUCACAUCACGAACAAGGAUAUUGAAGAGAAUGUGGAG
Molecule: RNA transcript, 2044 nt
Organism: Juglans microcarpa x Juglans regia
Lineage: Eukaryota; Viridiplantae; Streptophyta; Magnoliopsida; Fagales; Juglandaceae
Exons: 2
Source: RefSeq, a predicted model, not a curated record